CCUACGGGAGGCAGCAGUGGGGAAUAUUGCACAAUGGGGGAAACCCUGAUGCAGCAACGCCGCGUGAGUGAAGAAGUAUUUCGGUAUGUAAAGCUCUAUCAGCAGGGAAGAAAAUGACAGUACCUGACUAAGAAGCCCCGGCUAACUACGUGCCAGCAGCCGCGGUAAUACGUAGGGGGCAAGCGUUAUCCGGAUUUACUGGGUGUAAAGGGAGCGUAGACGGCUGCGCAAGUCAGAAGUGAAAGCCCGGGGCUCAACCGCGGGACUGCUUUUGAAACUGUGUAGCUAGAGUGCAGGAGAGGUAAGUGGAAUUCCUAGUGUAGCGGUGAAAUGCUUAGAUAUCACGAAGAACUCCGAUUGCGAAGGCAGCUUACUAAACUGCCACUGACAUUGAUGCUCGAAAGUGUGGGUAUCAAACAGGAUUAGAUACCCUUGUAGUC
Molecule: ribosomal RNA, 440 nt
Filed under: uncultured bacterium
Lineage: Bacteria
Description: partial 16S ribosomal RNA
Rfam family: Bacterial small subunit ribosomal RNA
Source: RNAcentral